Molecule: transfer RNA, 76 nt
Filed under: Dehalococcoidales bacterium
Lineage: Bacteria; Bacillati; Chloroflexota; Dehalococcoidia; Dehalococcoidales
Description: tRNA-Arg
Rfam family: tRNA
About the family: Transfer RNA (tRNA) molecules are approximately 80 nucleotides in length. Their secondary structure includes four short double-helical elements and three loops (D, anti-codon, and T loops). Further hydrogen bonds mediate the characteristic L-shaped molecular structure. tRNAs have two regions of fundamental functional importance: the anti-codon, which is responsible for specific mRNA codon recognition, and the 3' end, to which the tRNAs corresponding amino acid is attached (by aminoacyl-tRNA synthetases). tRNAs cope with the degeneracy of the genetic code in two manners: having more than one tRNA (with a specific anti-codon) for a particular amino acid; and 'wobble' base-pairing, i.e. permitting non-standard base-pairing at the 3rd anti-codon position.
Source: RNAcentral
GCGCCCGUGGCGCAGUGGAUAGCGCGUUUGGUUGCGGACCAAAAGGUCGGAGGUUCGAGUCCUCCCGGGCGUACCA